AAAUUGAAGAGUUUGAUCAUGGCGCAGAUUGAACGCUGGCGGCAGGCCUAACACAUGCAAGUCGAGCGGAAACGAGUUAACUGGAACUUGGGAACGAUAACGGCGUCGAGCGGCGGACGGGUGAGUAAUGCCUAGGAAAUUGCCCUGAUGUGGGGGAUAACCACUUGGAAACGAUGGCUAAUACCGCAUAAUGCUACGGGCCAAAGAGGGGGACCUUCGGGCCUCUCGCGUCAGGAUAUGCCUAGGUGGGAUUAGCUAGUUGGUGAGGUAAGGGCUCACCAAGGCGACGAUCCCUAGCUGGUCUGAGAGGAUGAUCAGCCACACUGGAACUGAGACACGGUCCAGACUCCUAGAGGAGGCAGCAGUGGGGAAUAUUGCACAAUGGGCGCAAGCCUGAUGCAGCCAUGCCGCGUGUGUGAAGAAGGCCUUCGGGUUGUAAAGCACUUUCAGUCGUGAGGAAGGUAGUGUAGUUAAUAGCUGCAUUAUUUGACGUUAGCGACAGAAGAAGCACCGGCUAACUCCGUGCCAGCAGCCGCGGUAAUACGGAGGGUGCGAGCGUUAAUCGGAAUUACUGGGCGUAAAGCGCAUGCAGGUGGUCUGUUUAGUCAGAUGUGAUAGCCCGGGGCUCAACCUCGGAAUAGCAUUUGAUACUGGCAGACUAGAGUACUGUAGAGGGGGGUAGAAUUUCAGGUGUAGCGGUGAAAUGCGUAGAGAUCUGAAGGAAUACCGGUGGCGAAGGCGGCCCCCUGGACAGAUACUGACACUCAGAUGCGAAAGCGUGGGGAGCAAACAGGAUUAGAUACCCUGGUAGUCCACGCCGUAAACGAUGUCUACUUGGAGGUUGUGGCCUUGAGCCGUGGCUUUCGGAGCUAACGCGUUAAGUAGACCGCCUGGGGAGUACGGUCGCAAGAUUAAAACUCAAAUGAAUUGACGGGGGCCCGCACAAGCGGUGGAGCAUGUGGUUUAAUUCGAUGCAACGCGAAGAACCUUACCUACUCUUGACAUCCAGAGAACUUUCCAGAGAUGGAUUGGUGCCUUCGGGAACUCUGAGACAGGUGCUGCAUGGCUGUCGUCAGCUCGUGUUGUGAAAUGUUGGGUUAAGUCCCGCAACGAGCGCAACCCUUAUCCUUGUUUGCCAGCGAGUAAUGUCGGGAACUCCAGGGAGACUGCCGGUGAUAAACCGGAGGAAGGUGGGGACGACGUCAAGUCAUCAUGGCCCUUACGAGUAGGGCUACACACGUGCUACAAUGGCGCAUACAGAGCGCUGCCGACUUGUGAAACCGCCCUAAUCCCUAAAAAUGUGUCCUAGUGUUGGGGUAUCUGAGCUAUAUAGGGACACAAUAUCU
This 1346-nucleotide ribosomal RNA is filed under the name Vibrio campbellii. RNAcentral's name for it is "bacterial SSU rRNA". It matches the Rfam family "Bacterial small subunit ribosomal RNA", at positions 1 to 1328 of the family's 1533-position model. Lineage: Bacteria; Pseudomonadati; Pseudomonadota; Gammaproteobacteria; Vibrionales; Vibrionaceae. The record is from RNAcentral.